Molecule: ribosomal RNA, 365 nt
Filed under: uncultured bacterium
Lineage: Bacteria
Description: bacterial SSU rRNA
Rfam family: Bacterial small subunit ribosomal RNA
Source: RNAcentral
AAACUCGGGCUAAUACCGGAUAAGUCGUGGGAGCUCUCGGGCACCCGACGGGAAAGGUCCGCAAGGGCUACCAAUGGACGAGCUCGCGGCCAUCAGCUUGUUGGUGAGGUAAUGGCUCACCGAAGGCUAAGACGGGUAGCUGGUCUGAGAGGAUGAUCAGCCACACGUGGAACUGAGACACGGUCCCAGACUCCUACGGGAGGCAGCAGUGGGGAAUAUUGCGCAAUGGGCGAAAGCCUGACGCAGCCACGCCGCGUGUGCGAUGAAGGUCUUCGGAUCGUAAAGCACUGUGGAGGGAGAAGAAUAAAGCCGGUGAAGAGCCGGCCCUGACGGUAUCCCUUUAGCAAGCACCGGCUAACUCCGUG